RNAcentral lists this ribosomal RNA (326 nucleotides) under Staphylococcus aureus. Its description in RNAcentral is "partial 23S ribosomal RNA". It matches the Rfam family "Bacterial large subunit ribosomal RNA", at positions 1 to 326 of the family's 2925-position model. Lineage: Bacteria; Bacillati; Bacillota; Bacilli; Caryophanales; Staphylococcaceae. The record is from RNAcentral. RNAcentral also lists the same sequence under 1 other name.
GAUUAAGUUAUUAAGGGCGCACGGUGGAUGCCUUGGCACUAGAAGCCGAUGAAGGACGUUACUAACGACGAUAUGCUUUGGGGAGCUGUAAGUAAGCUUUGAUCCAGAGAUUUCCGAAUGGGGAAACCCAGCAUGAGUUAUGUCAUGUUAUCGAUAUGUGAAUACAUAGCAUAUCAGAAGGCACACCCGGAGAACUGAAACAUCUUAGUACCCGGAGGAAGAGAAAGAAAAUUCGAUUCCCUUAGUAGCGGCGAGCGAAACGGGAAGAGCCCAAACCAACAAGCUUGCUUGUUGGGGUUGUAGGACACUCUAUACGGAGUUACAAA